GGGCGAACGCUGGCGGCGUGCCUACUACAUGCAAGUCGAACGCUGAAGGAGGAGCUUGCUUCUCUGGAUGAGUUGCGAACGGGUGAGUAACGCGUAGGUAACCUGCCUGGUAGCGGGGGAUAACUAUUGGAAACGAUAGCUAAUACCGCAUAAGAGUAGAUGUCGCAUGACAUUUGCUUAAAAGGUGCAAUUGCAUCACUACCAGAUGGACCUGCGUUGUAUUAGCUAGUUGGUGAGGUAACGGCUCACCAAGGCAACGAUACAUAGCCGACCUGAGAGGGUGAUCGGCCACACUGGGACUGAGACACGGCCCAGACUCCUACGGGAGGCAGCAGUAGGGAAUCUUCGGCAAUGGACGGAAGUCUGACCGAGCAACGCCGCGUGAGUGAAGAAGGUUUUCGGAUCGUAAAGCUCUGUUGUAAGAGAAGAACGAGUGUGAGAGUGGAAAGUUCACACUGUGACGGUAUCUUACCAGAAAGGGACGGCUAACUACGUG
This 496-nucleotide ribosomal RNA is filed under the name uncultured bacterium. RNAcentral's name for it is "partial 16S ribosomal RNA". It matches the Rfam family "Bacterial small subunit ribosomal RNA", at positions 27 to 507 of the family's 1533-position model. The record is from RNAcentral.